CCGAUCAAUGACUAUGAACUGGCUUCCUACAUCACCGCCGGCCUCGACAUGGAGUACCGGCCUCUCAUCUCCGCCAACAACGCCCGCACCGAGCCCAUCAACCUCGACGAUAUCUUCGCUCAGGUGAGCAGUUUUGAUC
Molecule: small nucleolar RNA, 139 nt
Filed under: Triticum urartu
Lineage: Eukaryota; Viridiplantae; Streptophyta; Magnoliopsida; Poales; Poaceae
Description: Small nucleolar RNA Z247
Rfam family: Small nucleolar RNA Z247
About the family: Z247 is a member of the C/D class of snoRNA which contain the C (UGAUGA) and D (CUGA) box motifs. Most of the members of the box C/D family function in directing site-specific 2'-O-methylation of substrate RNAs.
Source: Rfam by way of RNAcentral